UCUUCUCUCAAUCAAAACCUAUUCUCUCUCUUAUUUGCUUUUGGGUCAUAGCAGAAGGAAGGGCAGGACAGAUUGUAAACAGAGAUAUCGACCUCACCAGCCUGAAAUCGACGGAAAUUCUGAGUAGAAACCUCCGGAACAAUGUCAGGUGAAGUCAGCGAUUAUGUGAUGCAAGGUUAUUUGGAACAAUGUAUAAAACGGCACAUGAGCCUUAAUGAGACGAAGAAUACACUGUGGUUAAAGGCCAAAAUCAAUCCAGCAUAUACUGAACUUGCGUGGAAACAACUUGAUAAGGCCAACCCAGCAUUUUUUAAGGCAUAUCAUUACCGAUUACUUGUGAAAGAUCAAAUUGUGCGAUUCAAUCAGUUGCUAGAAAGGCAAGUGGAGUUAGUGACCAGUCUUUCAACCGAACCUACUACUGUUGACAUGUCCAAUGGAUCUGAUAUUCCACCAAAUUCAGAUAAUGAAAGUAUGGGCACAAUAUCUGAAAGGGUUGAACAAUGAUCUGUCAUUGAUUAAAGAAGAAGCCGAAAAAAGUCUGUAAUUAACUUGGAUGGUUUGACAACUCUGCAAGAUAUUAUAUGGUGAUUUAUCGGCGUCUGAUCAGGUAACCUUUAAAACAUUUGGCUAGUUUCACUAAAGAUGUUCGCUGUUACUGACUAUGCAUUAGCAUAAACAAAGAAAUUUUUGAGGGAUAAUUUUGAUAGAAUCGGCUCAUGUAUUCUUAAAGAGUCAACAGUACACAGGAUCGACCUUCGAGGCCGGGAUAUACUCCAGCCUUAGGCUCGUCUUUAUAUUCAAAUGGUUGGCCAUCAUCUGUUGAUAUAUCUAAUAAUGUUAAUGGCUCAAUCAAACAUGAAGUUGGUACAAGGAAUGAAUUGGCAGAUGAUGAAGCUGGAAAACUUGCAUAUUUGGACCUAAUGGGGAUGUUCUUGAUGCAGAUGGAUACUUGGAUGUUUCUUCUUACAGCAAUCUCUUAGUGAAUGAUGUUGCUUAUGAGAGUCUUAUGCAGAUUCCAAGAGUCUUCAGUCUGUGACUUAAUAAUCGAUUUUUUCUCAUUUCAGGUCUUACCCUUUUCACCAUUCUCUCCGUUAAAAUCUGUUUAUCAUGUUCAUAAAUGUCAUGCUAAUGAAAAAUUGUUUAAUUAAGUGGACUUUUUUAGUUUGUACAGAUUUAGAGAAGUUUAUUUAGUCAUAGGUAAGAACGGUGUUUUGGAGAAUUUACUAGCAUGAGAAUUUACUGUAAAAGUAACUUUUGAAGAUUCAUGUUACGCUUUUUUAGGGAUGGAUCUUAUUAAUAAUGUUUAAUGAUACUUAUGAUAUGAGGAUAUGAAUAUGAUUCUAUGAAGAUUGUUACUAUCUAUUGGUUUGUGAUUUUAGGAUGAUAUUGCAAGGAUAAUGAAAUAUGUUCAUCUUACCUUUUCAAGGACAUGAUCUAUCUGCAUGGGUUAUAUAAUUGUAAUA
Molecule: RNA transcript, 1463 nt
Organism: Impatiens glandulifera
Lineage: Eukaryota; Viridiplantae; Streptophyta; Magnoliopsida; Ericales; Balsaminaceae
Exons: 8
Source: RefSeq, a predicted model, not a curated record